GACGGAUUCUGCCCGGUUCGCGCCGGGCUGUUCCCCAGUUACGACUGCAGAGCCUGGUGCCGGCACGAUGGCGAGUGCCCCCGAGAGGAGAAGUGCUGCCUCCGUGGCUGCGACUCCGUCUGCCUGCCCCCAUCCCCAGAGAAACCAGGCAUCUGCCCGCUGGCUGACGAGGCUCCGCUGGCCCCGUGUGGCACCGCCUGCACCAAGGACUGGCAGUGCCCGGGCGCUCAGAAGUGCUGCAGCAGCAGCAGAUGCGGCUCCGUGUGCUCAGCCCCCGAACCAG
Molecule: long non-coding RNA, 283 nt
Organism: Zonotrichia leucophrys gambelii
Lineage: Eukaryota; Metazoa; Chordata; Aves; Passeriformes; Passerellidae
Exons: 2
Source: RefSeq, a predicted model, not a curated record